Molecule: ribosomal RNA, 450 nt
Filed under: uncultured bacterium
Lineage: Bacteria
Description: partial 16S ribosomal RNA
Rfam family: Bacterial small subunit ribosomal RNA
Source: RNAcentral
GUGGGGAAUAUUGGACAAUGGGCGAAAGCCUGAUCCAGCCAUGCCGCGUGUGUGAAGGAGGUCUUCGGAUUGUAAAGCACUUUAAGUUGGGAGGAAGGGCAGUAAGUUAAUACCUUGCUGUUUUGACGUUACCGACAGAAUAAGCACCGGCUAACUUCGUGCCAGCAGCCGCGGUAAUACGAAGGGUGCAAGCGUUAAUCGGAAUUACUGGGCGUAAAGCGCGCGUAGGUGGUUUUGUAAGUUGGAGGUGAAAUCCCCGGGCUCAACCUGGGAACUGCCUCCAAAACUGCAUGACUAGAGUACGGUAGAGGGUAGUGGAAUUUCCUGUGUAGCGGUGAAAUGCGUAGAUAUAGGAAGGAACACCAGUGGCGAAGGCGACUACCUGGACUGAUACUGACACUGAGGUGCGAAAGCGUGGGGAGCAAACAGGAUUAGAAACCCCUGUAGUCC